UCUGCUUUUUUUUGCUUCUUCUUUCUUUGUUCUACUGUAUUCUUUUUUUUUCUUUCCUUGUUGGUUCCUAUUUUGUCAAGAACUCAUCUUUUAAUCUUUUUUUUCUCCAAAUUCAAUUUUAUUGGGGUGUGAUUUUUGUUAUCGCCUUAUCAUGUAAGUGCUUUUUGAAUUUUCCUUUUGUACCAAAUAUUUAUUUAAUUAAUAUUAUCAUUAGUUUGUUAUUGGUGGAAGGUUUUGAGGUUGGGAACAAGUAUUUUUUGUUGUUUUAUGUGAUCGAGGUUGUUUUAAUUGAGAAAUCUUUUGGAUUUAGGUGAAGAUUUUUGGACUAACGAUCCUUCGACGAG
Molecule: long non-coding RNA, 344 nt
Filed under: Gossypium raimondii (Peruvian cotton)
Lineage: Eukaryota; Viridiplantae; Streptophyta; Magnoliopsida; Malvales; Malvaceae
Description: long non-coding RNA (GRAI_LNC010537)
Source: RNAcentral